GACCAAGGGCGAAGACGUGUCGAAGUGAAAGCCCCAGGGAUUAUUGAAUGUAAAUCUGUGCACGAACCCAUGCAAACAGGCUUAAAAGCAGUGGAUAGCCUGGUUCCUAUAGGCCGUGGUCAACGAGAACUUAUAAUCGGGGACAGACAAACUGGAAAAACUGCAAUAGCUAUCGAUACUAUAUUAAACCAAAAGCAAAUGAACUCAAGAGAUUCUUCCCUGUUUCUACCCGGACGAUUCCAUCAAAUAAAUAAAAAUAAAAGUGAAGAGGAAAACGCAUAA
RNAcentral lists this ribosomal RNA (282 nucleotides) under Triticum aestivum (bread wheat). RNAcentral describes it as "partial small subunit ribosomal RNA". Lineage: Eukaryota; Viridiplantae; Streptophyta; Magnoliopsida; Poales; Poaceae. The record is from RNAcentral.